CACGCAGGCGGUCCGUUAAAUGAGGAGUGAAAGCCCUGGGCUCAACCCGGGAAUUGCUCUUCAGACUGGCGGACUCGAAUCCAGAAGAGGGUAGUGGAAUUCCCAGUGUAGAGGUGAAAUUCGUAGAUAUUGGGAAGAACACCAGUGGCGAAGGCGACUGCCUGGUCUGGCAUUGACGCUCAUGUGCGAAAGCGUGGGGAGCAAACAGGAUUAGAUACCCUGGUAGUCCACGCCGUAAACGAUGAGUGCUAGUUGUUGGGGUGCAUGCACUUCAGUGACGCAGCUAACGCAUUAAGCACUCCGCCUGGGGAGUACGGCCGCAAGGUUAAA
Molecule: ribosomal RNA, 330 nt
Filed under: uncultured bacterium
Lineage: Bacteria
Description: bacterial SSU rRNA
Rfam family: Bacterial small subunit ribosomal RNA
Source: RNAcentral